GACGAACGCUGGCGGCGUGCUUAACACAUGCAAGUCGAACGGAAAGGCCCUGCUUUUGUGGGGUGCUCGAGUGGCGAACGGGUGAGUAACACGUGAGUAGCCUGCCCUUGACUUUGGGAUAACUUCAGGAAACUGGGGCUAAUACCGGAUAGGAGCUCCUGCUGCAUGGUGGGGGUUGGAAAGUUUCGGCGGUUGGGGAUGGACUCGCGGCUUAUCAGCUUGUUGGUGGGGUAGUGGCUUACCAAGGCUUUGACGGGUAGCCGGCCUGAGAGGGUGACCGGCCACAUUGGGACUGAGAUACGGCCCAGACUCCUACGGGAGGCAGCAGUGGGGAAUAUUGCACAAUGGGCGGAAGCCUGAUGCAGCAACGCCGCGUGCGGGAUGACGGCCUUCGGGUUGUAAACCGCUUUCGCCUGUGACGAAGCGUGAGUGACGGUAAUGGGUAAAGAAGCACCGGCGAACUACGU
This 467-nucleotide ribosomal RNA is filed under the name uncultured bacterium. Its description in RNAcentral is "partial 16S ribosomal RNA". It matches the Rfam family "Bacterial small subunit ribosomal RNA", at positions 28 to 506 of the family's 1533-position model. The record is from RNAcentral.